GAUGAAGAAAGCAGCGAAAUGCGAUAAGUAGUGUGAAUUGCAGAAUUCAGUGAAUCAUCGAAUCUUUGAACGCACAUUGCGCCCCAUGGUAUUCCGUGGGGCAUGCCUGUUCGAGCGUCAUUUACCCCCUCAAGCUCCGCUUGGUGUUGGGCGUCUGUCCCGCUUCGCGCGCGGACUCGCCCCAAAGGUAUUGGCAGCGGUCGUGCCAGCUUCUCGCGCAGCACAUUGCGCUUCUCGAGGCACCGGUGGGCCCGCGUCCAUCAAGCUCACCCCCCCAGUUUGACCUCGGAUCAGGUAGGGAUACCCGCUGAACUUAAGCAUAUCAAUAAGCGGAGGA
Molecule: unclassified non-coding RNA, 337 nt
Filed under: soil metagenome
Description: partial contains 5.8S ribosomal RNA, internal transcribed spacer 2, and large subunit ribosomal RNA
Rfam family: 5.8S ribosomal RNA (bases 1-120)
Source: RNAcentral